GUUCUUAUGGUUGAAGCCUACAACGAU
This 27-nucleotide transfer RNA is filed under the name Pyrilia caica (Caica parrot). RNAcentral describes it as "partial tRNA-Glu". The record is from RNAcentral. Lineage: Eukaryota; Metazoa; Chordata; Aves; Psittaciformes; Psittacidae.